This 246-nucleotide long non-coding RNA is filed under the name Vigna radiata. RNAcentral's name for it is "long non-coding RNA (VRAD_LNC017764)". The record is from RNAcentral. Lineage: Eukaryota; Viridiplantae; Streptophyta; Magnoliopsida; Fabales; Fabaceae.
AAAAUUUGUACAGCGCCAUCAAACACGAGCACCGAACGUGACGAAUUACAAAAGAGAUAGGAGAAGUAGACAGGAUUGGAGUAGAAAUAGAAGUCAAAGCAGAGAAAGGGUGACCAGGGGAGUUAUAAACACCAUUUCUGGUGGGUUCGCAGGAGGAGGCCCAUCGGUAUCUGCUUGCAAAAGACAUUUAAGAGGUUUGCAUCAUGUGAACCAAGCAGGAGUAGAUCGGAAAUCAAUGCCUGUGAU